RNAcentral lists this ribosomal RNA (2142 nucleotides) under human gut metagenome. RNAcentral's name for it is "bacterial LSU rRNA". It matches the Rfam family "Bacterial large subunit ribosomal RNA", at positions 1 to 2003 of the family's 2925-position model. The record is from RNAcentral.
UGUUGCUUGCAAGGGCGUAUGGUGGAUGCCUUGGCAGACAGGACCGAUGAAGGACGUUUGAGGCUGCGAUAUGCCUCGGGGAGCCGCCAACAGGGCUUUGAUCCGAGGAUUUCCGAAUGGGGGAACCCACCGACCGUCAUGGGUCGGUACCGGCUUCGGCCGGGGGGUACGCAGGGAAGUGAAACAUCUCAGUACCUGCAGGAAAGGAUAUUCCGUGAGUAGUGGCGAGCGAAAGCGGAUGAUGGCCAAACCUUGCGCGUGUGAUACCCGUCGGGGGUUGCGCGCGGGGUGUUGCGGGAUCGCGUGCGCCGGCUCCGACGGGCCGGCCGGCAGUUGCAGAAAACCAUGUGUCAGGGGAACCGGGUUGAAUACCGGGCCGCAGAGGGUGAGGGCCCCGUACCUGAACGCGCAUGGUCUGCCGAUCGCGUCUCCCAAGUAGCACGGGUCCCGUGGAACCCCGUGCGAAUCCGCCCAGACCGUUGGGUAAGCCUGAAUAUUCCUGUCUGACCGAUAGCGAACGAGUACCGUGAGGGAAAGGUGAAAAGUACCCCGGGAGGGGAGUGAAACAGUCUCUGAAACCGUGCGCCUACAAUCCGUCGGAGCCCUUUUGUGGGGUGACGGCGUGCCUAUCGAAAAAUGAGUCUGCGAGUCAGUGGCAUGUGGCGAGCAUAACCCGUGUGGGGUAUGCGUAGCGAAGGCGAGUCUUAAAAGGCGUUUGAGUCGCGUGUCCUGGACCCGAAGCGGGAUGAUCUAGCCCUGAGCAGGUUGAAGCGCGGGUAAGACCGCGUGGAGGACCGAACCCACCUGGGUUGAAAACCGGGGGGAUGACCUGGGGCUAGGGGUGAAAGGCCAAUCAAAUUCCGUGAUAGCUGGUUCUCUCCGAAAUGCAUUUGGGUGCAGCGUCGGGUCAUUACGUCCCGGGGGUAGAGCUACUGGAUGCUUGCGGGCCCGUAUCGGGUACCAACAGCAACCAAACUCCGAAUACCGGUGACGCGUAUCCCGGCAGUGAGUCGGCGGGGGAUAAGCUUCGUCGUCGAAAGGGAAACAGCCCAGACCGUCGUCUAAGGUCCCGAAGCGUGUGCUAAGUGGGAAAGGAUGUGGAGUCGCAUAGACAGCCAGGAGGUUGGCUCAGAAGCAGCCAUCCUUGAAAGAGUGCGUAACAGCUCACUGGUCUAGUGGUUCCGCGCCGACAAUGUAGCGGGGCUCAAGCACACCACCGAAGACGCGGCAGUAUUUUGUACUGGGUAGGAGAGCGUCCCAUGAGGGGCGAAGCGGCCGUGUGAACGCGCCGUGGACUUCAUGGGAGUGAGAAUGCAGACAUGAGUAGCGAGAGACGGGUGAAGAUCCCGUCCGCUGGAUGACCAAGGGUUCCAGGGCCACGUUCAUCGUCCCUGGGUGAGUCGGGUCCUAAGGCGAGGCCGACAGGCGUAGUCGAAUGGAUGAACGGGUCGAUAUUCCCGUACCGGCUUUCAGCCGCCAAAACCGAGGCUUGGAGUACUAACCUCCGGGUCCGGGCUUACUGCUCCUUCGGGGGCGGGAUGCCCUGGCCUGUUGGGACCGAUCCUUGUAGUAGGUCAGCGCAGGAGUGACGCAGAAGGGUAGCCGGCCGCGGAGGUGGUCUUCCGUGGUCAAGCACGCAGGGCGUGGGACAGGCAAAUCCGUCCCGCAUGGGUCCGAGGUGCGAUGAUGGGGGCCUUAUGGCCCGAUAUCCGGUGAUCCCGGCUGCCGAGAAAAGCUUCGGCGUCAGGCUCAAAGCCGCCCGUACCCCAAACCGACACUGGUGGUCAGGUAGAGAAUACCAAAGCGAUCGAGCGAAUCCUGGUCAAGGAACUCGGCAAAUCACUCCCGUUCCUUCGGUUUAAGGGAGACCCCCGAUGGUGAACACACUUGCUGUGGGAGCUUUUGGGGGUGGCACAGACCAGGGGGUAGCGACUGUUUACCAAAAACACAGGUGCAUGCGAAGGCGCAAGCCGCUGUAUAUGCACUGACGCCUGCCCGGUGCCGGAAGGUUAAGAGGAUCCGUCAGUCCCUUUUGGGGUGAAGCGGUGAAUUCAAGCCCCGGUAAACGGCGGUGGUAACUAUAACCAUCCUAAGGUAGCGAAAUUCCUUGUCGGGUAAGUUCCGACCUGCACGAAUGGCGUA